This is a long non-coding RNA of Lagopus muta (rock ptarmigan), 10368 nucleotides long. RefSeq lists it as uncharacterized. The record is from RefSeq and is a predicted model, not a curated record. The transcript is spliced from 2 exons. NCBI's taxonomy places the organism in Eukaryota, Metazoa, Chordata, Aves, Galliformes, Phasianidae.
UGCUAUGGCAAAUGGUGUUGGUGCGGGCUCGGGGUGCACUGAGCCCAUGCGUCUUCUGGGGGGAGUUCAUAGAACGGCUUGGGUUGGAAGGGACCCGAAGGAUCAAAAAUACAUAAAUAAAUGAAUAAGUAAAUAACUCCAGUUCUUCUAAUAGGAGAAGUGAUGGCAAUAAAGACAUUCUUUCUUCCCUCCAAGGAAGUGGGCACCCUCAACAUGAGAUGCCCCCCAACACACACACUGCAAUCUCUGGCUUAAAGUCAUGUUAAAAUCUCAAUUUUUCUCACAUGUUCAGACUUUUUUGCUUGAACAGUGAUGGGCACAUCACCACACAGCAGACUGGUCCUGGAGCACAGAGCUGUGUGUUUCAGGCUCAUGGCAGAUCUCUGCUGCUCCAAUAGCCCACACUGGAACAGACGUAUGCUUUCUCUUCAAGCCUGUUGGCCCAAAAAUGAAUAUAUAUAAAUAAAUAAAUGACAUUCUUAAUUGAUUUUGGUACUGCUAACUUGCUUUAAUUUUGCCCAGAGAGGUUGUGGAUGCCCCAGUCUCUGGAUGGGGCUCUGGGCAGCCUGAUUCAGUGGUUGGCAGCGCUGCCCUUGGCAAGCAGCUUGGAGCUGAUGAUCUGUAAGGUCCCCUCCGACCAAAGCCAUUCUGUGGUUCUGUGAUUAAUUUGUCUUCUGCCCUUUUCGAGUGCGUACACUUCUCGGAUGCAUUGGGGCCCAUUGGCUCACUCUACCUUUUACGUCUUGCUGCCCUUCUGGGAAGCCACAGCCCAAUGCCGUCUCCAAUAAUUCCUACUUUUUCUCCCACGGCAAAGCUCUGCUUCAAGCAGCAGUGCUAACUUACAGUAGGUGUCCUUGAGAUAAUACUGACUGAUGCUGAGCUUUCUCCCCAAACCAGCCUGCUUUGUUCUUUGAUUAAGGUGCCUUGUAGCUGUAACUGGAAACCAAGUCAAUAGGAAAAAUUCUGCUCUCUGGACCAGUGACACUAAUUGUAAUCCAUUGCAUCAUUUCACCCAGACCUGCAAUUCUCUGUUGAUCUUCCAGGUCCUUGCCUUAAUAGUUGCUGUUUGCAGAGUUCAGCUGCUCGGAGUGUUUACUGAGUAUUUGCUCACCAGCUGUCUGACCCCUUCCAUCCACUGCCGGUGUAAAGAGGGUUUCAUCGGAUCCCACUAAAACCCAGGAGCUUAUUUUAAGACCGUAGACUCUAUGAGGCCCCUGGAGCAUUUGUGUUUCUUAUCCUUGUGCAUCACGCAGUUCCACAUUCACUGAGGUACUCUCCUUGUUAAGCUUCUAAAAGGCUUUCAAAUUAACCAUAUGCAGGACUAUACAGGACACAGAUAAGUCACAAAGCAUCUUUUCUGCUUUGUAUGCUCUUGACUAUGGGUAUCGAUCCGUAAGCAUUGCUCAAUGCUUGGCUUUAACCCAAACAUAUACAUAUAUUUAAUUGCAGCUUUUAAACAUUAAUAGACUUUGUUUGUUAGGGCAGAGGACCGUGCAGCCAUGAUAAAGGAGACAUUUUAGUACUGUAAGAUUGAUUGAGACUGCAGCAGUUUCACUGCUGACAGCAGUUUGUAUAGGAAGAUGGAUUGUAUGUAUCCAGUGAUUCAGUCUCCCUAUGAGGAUUUCUCAUGUUCAGAAAUCAUGGUCAGAGCCACAGCUCUAAGAUUUCUUUUAAAUCCAGAUUCAAAAUAAACGUUCUAAUUUUGCCAACAUAGCGUCCCUCAGUUGAAGACUGCAGAGUGAAAUACAGGUAAGCAAGAGAUCUGUGAGUGGGAAGUUCACGAGUCAGCCUGAAAUUUAACAGAUAGAGACCUCAAGGUCUAAAUAAUUACAAGGACAAGCAAAGAAAGGAUGAUAAACGUGCAUUUAGUGCUCUAAAAAUUGAGUGGGACACCAUUAGAUCCCCUGGAUCCACGGGCUCAAACCCAGCAAAAGCACUUUCAGGCCUUUGUUCCUAUGAAGUAGACAAAUUACUUUCCAGGUGGCUUUCUGUGUUGUCAGAUUUCAGAAAAUACCCUGACAUUCCAGCUGGUUAGGGAGCCGGAGCCCACUUGGUGUGGUCAUGCUGCCCUGCUGCUGAAGAGUAAGUUGUCUUGCUGGGAUUAUUGGCAUGUAUCACCCUUCAUUAUUAAAAUGAGGUCUUUAUAAACACUUUCAGUCUGAGGGAUUCCUGGGACCAUAAACAAGUUGCAGGGAGCAGAGAUACAGGAUGUGCAUUUGUGUGUCCUUCAUAACAACAGCAAGUAUAAAGGGAAAUCGACAGCCAUUAAUCAUUCAGUGUGUAGAUCUUCGAGAUGUAAAGGACUGACCUUCCUGUUGUAGUUUCCCUUUAUAUGUGAUCUAGGAGCUUAUCAGAAGGGGAGAGAUGUGAGGUCCUCAGAGCUCACCUGGAUUUACCUGAAUAGGUGAAGUGUUGCUGCCUCCAAACACCACAUUAUGUCUGCUGUCCCAAUUAAACCAGUGUGAAAUACCUGUCCAUCUACAACACAUCUCCUGAAUCCCUCCUGAAGUCGCCCUAACUGCCUAAAUUCCUGUGGUGUUGAGGAGUUUAGAACUGCCCAGCAUUGAACAUACACAUGGACAACGAAUAACAUCUCUUUACUGGAUUAUACAAAAUAAAAACAAACCCCUGGCAUUUCCACAGCUGCCUAAGAGGAGAAAGGAGCCUGAGAAAAGGCAGUUUGUAGGUCACCAGCUGUGAUAGUUUUUCUUCUGGAGUAUGGAGUAAGUGAAGACAACACUGAACUGAGCAGACCCUGGGUUUCUAUCCUAGAAGGUAAAAAAAUCCUUAAGAAAUGCUGUCUGCCACCACCUAGUGGAAAAUACCACUUCAGCUUUCUUUGACCUACAUGGAUUUUUAGUUGAUCUUGUGGACAGUCCUGACUGGAUUGCUGUUUUUUUUCCCACCCCCAUAGUGCUAUAUAGAAUUAGAGCUUGCAAAAAAAUUCAUUCCAAGAAGUAUUUAAAAACUUAACGACGUACUUCCUGAUCUGAGCUAAAUCCUCCAUUUUGUUAUCUGCAAAUGGAGAUUCUGAGACCCAGGAAGAGUUCUAUGAGGUUUAAUUAGUGCAAAGUGCUCUCAAUACCAAUAGGUCUUUUUGGUCCAAGGACCUCAGACUGCUUUGGUCCAAGUACUCAAAUUACUGAGGUUUCAGCCAGCGAUCCAAGAGGGAGAUGUACUGCUGUGCUUGCUAUAUGGAAAGAUAAAUAGCAGGGGCUGCAAAGUUACAGUUGCCAGAAUUCACAUAAUAAAUCAAUAAGCAAAGAGAAGAAAAAUUCUGCAUAGCCGCAGAAUUGUUGGAUCCCUACUGUUCUCAUCAAGAUGGUCUUCGCUCUGAUAGCUUUCAGAGAGAGGAGACCCUCCUUGGCUUUUGUGCACGCAUGUAUUCUGCAAAUGGAGUCCAGAUUCUGGCAGAACAACCCAGGAGUUUCCCGUGCUGCUCACAGGAGGGCUGCUCAGAUCACACUGCUGCGUGGAACGCACAGUAUGCAUCAAAACGUUGUUGGCAACACUAAGUCAACCAGACAGCUCGUGCUCUGGAUGAGAAGCGAAUUUUCUUGAUGCUGUUUGGUGCCUUAGGGGCUGUACCAAAGAGAUGGGACUGAACCUUCUGUCAGGUGUAAGGCCUGAGGAUGGAGAAGACAGACUUAGCCAUGUCUCAGAGCUCACUCCUAGUCCUCCUGUCACACACAAUGGGGAGUCCUUACACAUUGGGAAGAGUAGAAGCAGGAAAGCAGCAUGCCUUUGUCCUCCCUGUUCCCUUUUUCUAUCAGGUUCCAGCUGCCAAUACUGAAUUGCUGGAGCCAUGUCUCCUGACCCUGAGAUUUCAUGACGGCAGCAGCAGAACUGCAAGAAGCACGUGGCUAACAGCUCUGGACAUUUUUGCUUUGCUGCUCCACAUUCACACUGGCAUUUUGCUUGCAGCCACCCAUCAGAUGAAGCCUGUGUCACUGGGAGCAGUGAUGUCCAGGCAGGAGAAAUGCUGAGUUUUGCCAUCUUAUAUCAAGAUCGUGACUGGCUGCUGUUCAAAGCUGUAGCAGUAAAUGGAGCUUCUGUUGACAAAUGUGUAUGGACAGAGCCGGGCCAAGAAUGACUUAUUCUUACUUAACUCACUUCCAGAAGGGUGUGGACAUCGUGCUAUGUGAAAAUCAUUUGGAAGGCCAUUAGAGGAGUUUUGCAGCAUAGUGUGAAAUAGGUUACGUUAAGUCACCUCCCCUGGGAAUUCAAAUGAAGAUCCUUUGCUUUGUAAAAGUCAGCAGCAUUUUUGUGGUUGUUUACUCGUAUCUCAGAGCAGUGAUAACAGACAAUCCUUGCCUUAACCUUUUCAUUACUUCCAGUCUGUUCAGGGAGGAAGGACGGUCUGGGACGGUGGCGUUGCUUUUAUCUGCGAUCUGCCCGUGACUCAUUUUGUUCAUCACAUGGUAACAAAAUCAAGCAGUGAUGUCAGGAAUGAUAGAAAAGUGAUUGUUGCGGAAUCAAUCCCCUCUAGCAAGUGGCAGAAGACAAAAUAAAUGAGUGUAGCACUGAGGCAUGAGUCAGAGAUGGAAACAGGACAACAAGCCCUCUAAAAGCUUCUUCUGAGCUGUCACUGUCCAAACCACGCUGACAGGAUGCUUCAUGGGAAUCGUCACUGCCUUGGCUAGAAGAACUCGCUGAGGCAGGAGGGAUUGCUGGGCCCGAACCAGGGCUCAGUGGGCAAAUGGAGAGCUGGAAACUGUGGCAAUCUUUUCCAGUUCCUUCUUUCCCUGACAGCUGAACUAACACUUGUCACAGGAGUGCAAAGUAGGCAAUUACAGCAAGCGUGGAUGCCACAGGGCUGGGUGGGCUCGCUAUUUAUAGCUUCCUACUGAGGGAGUUUUCCCACUGUGCCACUCUGCACACAGGGUAAGGUACAGUCCAUGCCUUGAAGGGCUCACAGUCCAGAUAAAAUUAGAAAAAGGAAGGAGAAGCAGCCUCUUGUGAUGAGAGCCAAGACUCAGGAGAUGAAAGGACAAAAAGGAAAUUCACAGCGGAGCCUGGAACAAUGAACUCCAACUUCUCCCCAGCAAUCUGCCCUUCCUCUGGUUAACUCUUCCCUGCCUCAAGUCCGACCUCUCUGCUACUCAUCGUAAUUAGUGCCAGUUUGAUACGUCAGGAAGAGGAGUUUUUCCAAGUUCUGACCUGUCUUCCCACUGUUAAAUUAUUUUCCCUCUGGCAGACGUGGUGAAGGGACGUGCACGCAGCCUGUAUUCCCUCCUGGUUCUGUGCUUCCAUCCCAAUGAAAGAAGGAUGGGAAGAGUCCGGACUGCUCAAGGAAUGAUAAACUCCCUGGAGAGCAGCAGGCCAUCAGCUUCAAGAAUUCACCGCCUCAGACAGCUGUGGAUGUGAGUCAAAGAUAGACGUCCUCCUUUGUUUCAUGUGAGGAUUAGAACAGGAGCUGUUUGUAAGUUGAGCUCUGCAGUAUCUUCUCAGCAAUUGGAAAUGUGGUCACAACAAAGAGAAAACCUUUGCAAAUCUAAUUUCUUUGUACUAAUCUAGUACUUGAGGUUGGAGACCAUCCACUGGCCUACUUACAGCCAGGCAUUUGAAAUGCUGCAUUGCAAUCCUGCCCCUGUUGUCACGCAGUAAAAUACAGAGAAGAGUCACUUGACUUACAGCAUCAAAUACAGAGAAAACGAGAUACCUGUCUGGAAAGGAACCACUUAACACAGUGGUGAAGAAGUCUUGCUUCUACUUGUACUGUUAGUGCUGAGAGGCAAUAAAAAUCAUAUUGUAGAAGCUGGUAAACUUUUUAAUAGUGAUUUUAAUGGAAAUAACUUACAGAAAAUGGUGUAAUGAUGCUAAUGAGUAUUGGCUUGUUUAAGAUCUUUUACUUUCACACUACAUACACUUAGGUGUAAAUCCACCUGACUUCCCUUGCUGGAUGUAGUUUUCAGCUCCGAGGCUGAUGCUCUCACACGAGUGAACCCCUCGGUGUUGCUGACUUUUGGUCGAGUGGUUCGACCACUUGCAUUAAACACGAUGCAACAUAUGAAAAUGCAACUGAAUGUCGGGAUGCAGUGCAAUGAAAAUGCUGAUUCCAUCUGAUGGGUCAGUGAGAGAGAAAGGAGGGAUUUGCCCUGGGUAAGAGCACAUGGAAAUGCACAGAAAUGAACGCCAAGCCCCAGGUCUCUCAGCCUUUCCUUGUAAGAGACUUGCCCCUUGCCCCUGAUCAACUUCGGGGCCUUCCACUGGGCUCCCUCUAGAAGUUCCCUAUCACGUCAGCAAGACUCUGUGUACCACACAUUUCUCACCAACAAGGACAGAAAGGUUAAAUCCUUGGUUGACAGGUUAACAGCAUGAUUUGCAGCAACAGCUUAAAUAAAUGGUUGCAGGCACAAACGAGUAGCAGGCAGCUAAUCCUUUAAAGGCUUAAGUGCAGCUACUACUGCAGUCCAAGUAAAUAUUUCAAAAUAAAAUUAAUUAGUGGUGACUGGUGGAUUUCCUUCUUUGUUUUGCAAGCCCAGGCUUAAAUGGUGACUCCUCCACAGAAUUUAUGCUUUCGAUGCCAAAACUGCCAUUUUGCAGGUGGCUUCUCAAAGACAAUGAGUUGCAGUGUUGUUCCUUGCAGUAACUGUAGCAGAACUGGAAAAGUUACAGAUGAAUCUUGUAGGUCCCUGUUCCCAUCAGAGGCAUCAAGGGCUCAGUGUCGAACAAAAGUACAGCGUAGAGGAAAGGUUUGCUUCCUGAUUCUUGCCAUAAGUAAGCUCUGCCCAGCCACAGAAAUAAUGGCCUUAAUAAUGGCCUUACUUCCAAUUAAAAGAUUUUUCUUUACACCUUCAUAGACAGAGGUCAAAGCAGGAAGGCGAAAACCUCAACAUAACCUGUACCCAACCAGCACAAAACACAGCCUGAGACUGGAGAAGAAAAACACUCAAGCAAAAGCAGCAAAAGGUCAAUGAAAUCAUUUGAAAACAAUCAUUUACAAUCCACAAUCAACCCUUUUUUUUCCCAAGAUUUUUUUCCUUUUACCUUGACCUUUGACUCCAUCUCAGAACAAAGCCAAUUUUCUCGUGAGGGAGGAAUCUCUCGUGGUCCACUGAACUGUCUGGACUAUUUUUAGUUAAACACAGCAUUCCUAAAAAUCUCAAGCUGCUUGUGUAUUAAGGAGGGAGCAAGGAAGCCCUGUGACCACACACCAUUUCACACGGCAAGCAAGAACACAGCAUGCCAGAUGGGGCUGAAUGCAGAGCUCUAGGAGAAAGAGCAGUGUGCCUGCAGUUUUCAGUAGAUAAAGGAAGGGGAAAAUGGACAGCGUGCACUUACCCACUAAAAUGAUGAGCUGCAGCUCCAGAGCACAGCAAUGGGAAAUCUGCCCAGUUCUGCCAGAGAGGCAGAAGUCAAGGAGAUUUGGAGAUCUGGAGAUGGGGAGAUCUUGCUGGGAGGAGCAGGACAGAUGCCCAAAGGGAAGGGUGAGGAGAAAGCUUAUGGUAGCAACUCAGGGAGAGGCAGAAGAUGUGAGAAGUGGUUGUAUGAAUGAGCUGAUGUCAGGGACAUUUAAGGACUGAGCAUGAGGGGGAGGAGUGGGGGAAACUCGUUUAGACCUCAGCGUAAGUGGAGUAUAGCACAUAUCUGAUUAGAUGGGACAGAACUGCGGUGCCGAGUCAUUUCUUCCUGCCCUGCAGGGUUUUCAUGUCUUCUUUUAUGCUAAGCAAAAUCCAUAUCGCCAUAAAAGUAGCAUUAUAGCACUGAGCCUCUCUGUUGCUGAAUUUGGCUAACUGCAGAUGGCAGAAGAGAAGCAGACCCCAACCACAGGGUCUAAUCUGAGUGAUGGGUACCAGAAAAGCACUCAAGAUGCCAUUGUCAAUUGUGAUGUUUGAACAAAUAAAACACUCAUUUUAAGGCUAUAUUUGGAGCGCAUUGGCUGUAUCUAACAUGCUCCAAGUGAGUCAUCACUUUCUCUCUCCCUCAUCUCCACAGAUGUUUCACACAAUUUCUGCUAAUAUAUUUUCAGGACUAGGAUCGGUGACAACCACUCCUCUCUGCAGAUAGUCCUCAGCCCUCAACCAGCACAGCAUCCAGGCAGGCCUCGAGGAUCAGCUUAUCAAUGAGGACAUAAAAUCACUGCUGAGAGAAGAGAAUCAAGGUGAACCCAACAAGGAGGAACAAGAAACCCAAGCUCCCACUUUUCUCCAUCACUGUAGAACCAGCGGUGAGCCCUGCUCUUCUUCCCAUCCCACGAACCUCCCCUACAGGACAAACACAUGGAGAAGCUCAGAGAGGUCAAUCAGCAACAGUGCCAUGAAACACACAAUAUAGUGCAAGGAAAACUGCUGCUCAGGGCACUGCACCCUGUUUCCCAGGAUGUUCCCUGUACAGCUGAGCAGAGAACCAUUUGCAUAAGGCUUUGGAUAACUGUAGCUUUUCCUAUUGCCCCUUUCCACUGCUGAGCACCUCUCUGUCUCCUGUCUUUGCCAUUUGAUACAAACAGCCCCUUGCAGACAAGGCUUCGCUGCAGGAUUUCAAGCUUGGGGCUUGUAGAUAAUGUCUGCAGCUACUCAGAUAGUCUUCACUGCUACCCAAACUGACCAAAGAAGUUGUGGAUGCCCCAUCUUUGAGGUGCUCAAAGCCAGGUUGGAUGGGGCCACGGGCAACCUGACCUGGUGUUUUGACUGCUUGAGGGACAUUUCCUCUGAUGUGAUGACGCUCAGGAAUUUGCAUUAAGCUGUGCUCACUCCAGACACUUAAAUAAAAAUAAUGAGAUUGAUCGAAAAGGAGUCUUUGCUUUUAUAAAGAAUACAUUUGGUGCAAUUUCUUUGUGACUUCUUUGCAGCUCAGGCCUCCAGGAGACUCUAGAGUCAAACAGUCAUAAAUACACCACACCACAGCAACAGAACAGCACUGAGGAUAUAAUGCAGGUGCUCAUAAAAUAGAGAAAAGCCUUAACUCUGGGUGCUUGUUCUUACUGCAGUUCUUGUGUGUAACAAUACCCCACUGAGCCAUAUAAAUGCCAACUAUUUUUAUCUAAGACAGCUGCCUUGCCCAGAAUGGAUGAUGCUCAAUAUAGGAGACAGCAAUUUGGUAUUAUCCUCAUCCAUCAGUGCUCAGCCUGUGCCUUGCUCAUUGGUCAAGCUCUGCUCUAGAACCAGAAACUUCUCCACAGUAAUGAGGCUGCUGUCAUAUCCCAGCACUCAGGCACCAGAACAACAGCAUAUGAGAACAGCCUCAUCUAGAGGGAGAACUCUGCUGCCCUCAUGCAAUGCUUGAACAAAAACAUGAGCUGACAGCACCGGCUAUCCUCAAAGCUACACCAGAGGAGCAUCACUGCUAUAUGAAAGAACCGUGCUCAUCAUGGAAACAAAUGCUUGCAGUAAUUCUUCCAGAUUUUCCAAAAUGUAAAGUCAGCUUGUUUUCUGAGAAAAAAAAUGAACAGCAGGUAUUACUGCACUGCAGCCAGACCACAGAAGUUUGAGCAUAAGGAAGUUUAUAAUCUGGAGGAAAGCCAUGCUUAGAAUACAAUAUGUGAACACACAGAAUGAGGUAGUCAGGACCUACAUUUUUUUGAGUAGUAAAUACACCUUUUUCCUCAUAAAUAGACAUAAAAUAUCCCCAUGCAGAGGAAAUAUUCCAUGUGUCCCUCCCUCAUACAGACCGCCCCGAAAGGGACUGAUAUAUUUGCACUGUGCUUCUGUUAAAUGACAAAUAAACUGCCAUCUCUCCAGAGAAGUCAGCAUGCUCCCUCCGUUCCCCAACCCUCUCUAGCAGCCCCAGGCUUCCCAACUUCCUGCUGCCCCUCAGCUCCCCUCUGCUCCUUCUUUUCCAUAUAAACUUCCCUUCCCCUUCCUCUCCCGUCUCCCCAAACCAAACAAACUCACAUUCUUAUCCCCUUAUAAAGGCUGAUUCAUGGCUUUGCGUCAGCAGCAGCGUUUCUGGCCAGACCCAGCUUUAACUGAGGGAUUUCAGCUGCUGUUAAGUGGUGGUGACAUCUGGGAAGCUGGGCUGCCAUCGGGAGCACGAGACUGGUGGUGGCCAAGGCCGACAUGACGCAGCAGAGCAGGGGACAUGCGUAGCUGUUGCCUUGGGAGGAGGGAAGGGAAAAGGGAGAUCCUGGAUUCUAUCAGUUGUUCCUCGGAGCAUGCCAGCAGGGCACGCACAGGCCAAUGAAUCGAGUCAACUCGGGGAAGAGACGGAGUUUAAAAAAAACACAACCUCGGCUCAGGCUCUGGGUUUGAUCUAGAGCACUGGAGGAAGAAUGGCAAAGUGAGGGAGGAAAAAGUGAAUCUUGGCCUUCCAAAUCACAAGUGGCCCUGGGUUGAAAGAGACCUGAAGGAUUAUCUAGAUCCAACCCUCUGCCUGAGUUGCCACCCACCAUUUCAGGCUGCCCAGAGCCCCAUCCAACCUGGCCUUGGG